AUUGAACGCUGGCGGCAGGCCUAACACAUGCAAGUCGAGCGAGAAAGGUCUUCGGACUGAGUACAGCGGCGGACGGGUGAGUAAUGCGCAGGAAUCUACCUGGUAGUGGGGGAUAACUCGGGGGAAACUCGAACUAAUACCGCAUACGCCCUACGGGGGAAAGCGGGGGACCGUUCGGGCCUCGCGCUAUCAGAUGAGCCUGCGUAGGAUUAGCUUGUUGGUGAGGUAAAGGCUCACCAAGGCGACGAUCCUUAGCUGGUCUGAGAGGAUGAUCAGCCACACUGGAACUGAGACACGGACCCGACUCCUACGGGAGGCAGCAGUAAGGAAUAUUGGUCAAUGGAGGCAACUCUGAACCAGCCAUUCCGCGUGAAGGAUGAAUGCCCUCUGGGUUGUAAACUUCUUUAGUCUGGGAAGAAAACAAUAUAUUCAUAUAUGUCUGACGGUACCAGAAGAAUAAGCACCGGCUAACUCCGUGCCAGC
RNAcentral lists this ribosomal RNA (483 nucleotides) under uncultured bacterium. RNAcentral's name for it is "bacterial SSU rRNA". It matches the Rfam family "Bacterial small subunit ribosomal RNA", at positions 30 to 512 of the family's 1533-position model. The record is from RNAcentral.